GAGUAAUACGUAGGAAUCUACCUAAGAGAAGGGGAUAGUUAGUGGAAACACUAAGUAAUACCCUAUACUUCCUAAGGGAAAAAUGCAGGGGACUUUUUUAAAGCCUUGCGCUUUUAGAUGAGCUUACGGCGGAUUAAUUAGUUGGUAAGGUAAAGGCUUACCAAGAUGACGAUCCGUAGCUGGUCUGAGAGGAUGAUCAGCCACACUGGGAUUGAGAUACGGCCCAGACUCC
This 232-nucleotide ribosomal RNA is filed under the name uncultured bacterium. Its description in RNAcentral is "partial 16S ribosomal RNA". It matches the Rfam family "Bacterial small subunit ribosomal RNA", at positions 108 to 339 of the family's 1533-position model. The record is from RNAcentral.